GAUCCUGGCUCAGGAUGAACGCUGGCGGCGUGCUUAACACAUGCAAGUCGAACGGAGCUUAGAAGGAAGCUUGCUUCAUUAAGCUUAGUGGCGGACGGGUGAGUAACGCGUGAGUAACCUGCCCUUGAGAGGGGAAUAACAUCGAGAAAUCGGUGCUAAUACCGCAUAAUGUCGGAGUACCGCAUGACAUUCCGACCAAAGAUUUUAUCGCUCAAGGAUGGACUCGCGUCCGAUUAGCUGGUUGGUGAGGUAACGGCCCACCAAGGCUUCGAUCGGUAGCCGAACUGAGAGGUUGAUCGGCCACAUUGGGACUGAGACACGGCCCAGACUCCUACGGGAGGCAGCAGUGGGGAAUAUUGGGCAAUGGGCGCAAGCCCUGACCCAGCAACGCCGCGUGAAGGAUGAAAGUCUUCGGAUUGUAAACUUCUUUGAUUGGGGAAGAAUAAAUGACCUACCCAAAGAACAAGCCACGGCUAACUACGUGCCAGCAGCGGC
Molecule: ribosomal RNA, 495 nt
Filed under: uncultured bacterium
Lineage: Bacteria
Description: bacterial SSU rRNA
Rfam family: Bacterial small subunit ribosomal RNA
Source: RNAcentral